GCGGAAGUGGCGGAAUUGGUAGACGCACUGGAUUUAGGUUCCAGCGCCGCAAGGUGUGGGGGUUCGAGUCCCCCCUUCCGCACCA
This 85-nucleotide transfer RNA is filed under the name Pseudomonadota bacterium. Its description in RNAcentral is "tRNA-Leu". It matches the Rfam family "tRNA". Rfam says of the family: Transfer RNA (tRNA) molecules are approximately 80 nucleotides in length. Their secondary structure includes four short double-helical elements and three loops (D, anti-codon, and T loops). Lineage: Bacteria; Pseudomonadati; Pseudomonadota. The record is from RNAcentral. RNAcentral also lists the same sequence under 2 other names.